AGCGAACGCUGGCGGCAGGCCUAACACAUGCAAGUCGAACGAACUCUUCGGAGUUAGUGGCGGACGGGUGAGUAACACGUGGGAACGUGCCUUUUGGUUCGGAAUAACUCAGGGAAACUUGUGCUAAUACCGAAUGUGCCCUUCGGGGGAAAGAUUUAUCGCCAUUAGAGCGGCCCGCGUCUGAUUAGCUAGUUGGUGAGGUAACGGCUCACCAAGGCGACGAUCAGUAGCUGGUCUGAGAGGAUGACCAGCCACACUGGGACUGAGACACGGCCCAGACUCCUACGGGAGGCAGCAGUGGGGAAUCUUGCGCAAUGGGCGAAAGCCUGACGCAGCCAUGCCGCGUGAAUGAUGAAGGUCUUAGGAUUGUAAAAUUCUUUCACCGGGGACGAUAAUGACGGUACCCGGAGAAGAAGCCCCGGCUAACUUUGU
Molecule: ribosomal RNA, 432 nt
Filed under: uncultured bacterium
Lineage: Bacteria
Description: partial 16S ribosomal RNA
Rfam family: Bacterial small subunit ribosomal RNA
Source: RNAcentral